UACGGGGGGAGCAAGCGUUGUUCGGAUUUACUGGGCGUAAAGGGCGCGUAGGCGGCCACCGCAAGUCAGUUGUGAAAGCUCUGGGCUUAACCCAGAAAGGUCAACUGAUACUGCGGGGCUAGAGUGCAGAAGGGGCAACUGGAAUUCUCGGUGUAGCGGUGAAAUGCGUAGAUAUCGAGAGGAACACCUGCGGCGAAGGCGGGUUGCUGGGCUGACACUGACGCUGAGUGUGCGAAAGCUAGGGGAGCAAACAGG
RNAcentral lists this ribosomal RNA (255 nucleotides) under uncultured bacterium. Its description in RNAcentral is "partial 16S ribosomal RNA". It matches the Rfam family "Bacterial small subunit ribosomal RNA", at positions 524 to 776 of the family's 1533-position model. The record is from RNAcentral.